UCAGUUUCUUUGCUUUAGGGAAGGGAGGUGCUAAACAGGUUCUACUGCUACCCUUCCCUUUACAGCAGAGACACUUAACUAGAGCCUUUCAGUUCAAGAUCUCAGUGGGUCCUGAUUCAAACUCAAACACACCAGGCAGGCUCUGUAGAGUUGUGCCAUGUCACUCUUUCAAAUGGCUGAAGCUGAGGCAUGGAGAGGUGAAAUAACCUGCCCACCAUCAUCCAGUGCUGGAUUGUGCAGUAGGUAAUGCAGGAUGGCAUUGCCUAAGGAAGAACCCUUCCCAUGUGCACAGAAAAGAAAUAUCCUUCCUGUGGCCCCUGCUGCCUUCCUCAUCUUCAAAUCCUUCCUGAAAACACACUCCUUCCAGAUCACCGGCCUUUCAGGGAUGAUUUCCACUUCAUUACUCCUGCCAGCUUCUGCUUCCUCCUACUAUUUAGAUAUGCAUUAAAACCUACUUAUCUAAA
Molecule: long non-coding RNA, 464 nt
Organism: Chelonia mydas (Green sea turtle)
Lineage: Eukaryota; Metazoa; Chordata; Testudines; Cheloniidae
Exons: 3
Source: RefSeq, a predicted model, not a curated record